This 233-nucleotide ribosomal RNA is filed under the name uncultured bacterium. RNAcentral's name for it is "partial 16S ribosomal RNA". It matches the Rfam family "Bacterial small subunit ribosomal RNA", at positions 100 to 334 of the family's 1533-position model. The record is from RNAcentral.
CGGGACGGGUGAGUAAUGCUUGGGAAUCUAGCUUAUGGGGGGGGAUAACUACGGGAAACUGUAGCUAAUACCGCGUAGAAUCGGGAGAUGAAAGUGUGGGACCUUCGGGCCACAUGCCAUAGGAUGAGCCCAAGUGGGAUUAGGUAGUUGGUGAGGUAAAGGCUCACCAAGCCGACGAUCUCUAGCUGGUCUGAGAGGAUGACCAGCCACACUGGGACUGAGACACGGCCCAG